UGUUUUAGAGAGAAGGAGGAAGGGGAAGAGCUUCACUUUAAUCAAAAGUCUAAAAUCUAACAAAUUGAAGAGGCAAAUCAACACAAAUCUUAUGCAUGAACAUUGAUUUAGAAUCAUCUAUGCUUGUCUAACAAGAGGCGUGAAGGAGGAAAGUUUAAGCGGCCGGAAACCUCAAGCCUCACAAGACGGAGGUAAAGCCGUACUCUAACGGCAUGCUACGCUUGGAACAAACACACUCCAUGAUGCCCUUUACGCGCUUCCGGUUUAUGUUUAGUGUCAAUGGGUCAGACUACUUUUAGAUUGUAAACGUCGUUUUAAAUGUUUGACUUUUGUAAGUAAGAUUAAAGUUUAUACUUUAAAUAUGUUAGAUUUGGGUCAAAAUUUAUAUUAAAUUAUUAAAGUUCAAAAUUUUAGAGUUUUA
Helianthus annuus (common sunflower) is the source of this 421-nucleotide long non-coding RNA. RefSeq lists it as uncharacterized. Lineage: Eukaryota; Viridiplantae; Streptophyta; Magnoliopsida; Asterales; Asteraceae. The record is from RefSeq and is a predicted model, not a curated record. The transcript is spliced from 3 exons.